GCCGAUGUAGCUCAGCUGGUAGAGCGGGAGUAUCGUAAACUUCAGGUCGCAAGUUCAAGUCUUGUCAUCGGCUCCA
Molecule: transfer RNA, 76 nt
Filed under: Candidatus Altimarinota bacterium
Lineage: Bacteria; Candidatus Altimarinota
Description: tRNA-Thr
Rfam family: tRNA
About the family: Transfer RNA (tRNA) molecules are approximately 80 nucleotides in length. Their secondary structure includes four short double-helical elements and three loops (D, anti-codon, and T loops).
Source: RNAcentral